Non-coding RNA from Drosophila bipectinata, 109 nucleotides. Lineage: Eukaryota; Metazoa; Arthropoda; Insecta; Diptera; Drosophilidae. The record is from RefSeq and is a predicted model, not a curated record.
GUGGUGAAUUUGUCGUCGAAAGCCAUGGAGUGUGGGAGGUUAUACUGCGAAUAAAACAUACAUAUAUACACGGAGCUACAUUGGUGUUUUAAGGCGGGUUGCCCCAUCG